This is a non-coding RNA of Danio rerio (zebrafish), 5309 nucleotides long. The record is from RefSeq and is a predicted model, not a curated record. NCBI's taxonomy places the organism in Eukaryota, Metazoa, Chordata, Actinopteri, Cypriniformes, Danionidae.
UACUGCUCAAAAAUAGCAUAAAACUUUCAUUUUUUACCAAGACAAGGGGAAUAUAUUUUGGGGCAGUGAGCACAAUACUGUGAAACUGUGAUAUUUUUGUCCAAGGUUAUCAUACCGUCAGAAUCUCAUACUGGCCCAUGCCUACCACAGAUUGGCAGUGGGGGACUUAAGAUAUAUAUUGGGGCAAAUAAUUUCUAAUGGGGAACUGAGACAAAUUGAACAGCAAGCUGACACUAAUAGAUUUUCAUCAAGCAUUCCUUUUGGCAAACGUAGCAACUGCUUGAGGAGCAGUGAUUAGAAGAAAGUUUUCAGCACCAGCUGAGGCCAUACGUAAUAUAAAAUUUACCCCUAAGGCAAAUGAAAAACCGGCAGCUUAUGUGAUGUAGUGCAAACAGGAGUGGGAAGCCCAAACUGGGACACAUCCUCUUGCUAACCCCAUACAUAAAGGGGUGUUUAGAGCAGUCAUGGCUGAGAGUAUGGAAAGCUGCGUCAAAGCAGCUCUAAAAGAAAAGCCAGAUAUACCAGGAAGUGCUCCUGCCACCUGGGAGAGACAUUUGACACAUCGUAUGAACAGGGCUAAAGACAAAGCUGACGAGAGUCUGAAAUCAAGGAAGAAAAAACUAUUAUUAAAAUUAUGAACAAAGCUAGAUAGGAUGUCAAUGGUCAGAACUAAAAAAGUCAACAAUUGGUGCUGUCACCUAAGCCUGAACAACCCUACAUGGCACCCGUGUACAACCCAAUACCUUAAUGCCAACAUUAAUUUAGAGGACAGAGUAGGGGAGACAUGAGGGUUCAAUGGGGUCCCAGGGCUGACAGGGGGCGGGAGCGUUGAGAGGGUUACUUCCUGUGUGGGUUACCCAACCAUCAAGCAUGUGACUGUCAAAGAUGCUACACGUGCAAUCAAGGGGAAUACAAUUCAACUAACUGUCCCCAGAGCCAGAACCAACAAGCCCACAGAGGGGGUAUGCAAGGAGGCCGAGGCUUCAUGGCAUCACACACAGGGCUAGCUCUAAACCCUGGCAGACAGAACCCAGGGCAGGGUGGAACCCUAUAUCCACUCUAAGGAGGAGAAGGACAGUACUGAGGAAGCACACACAGAGACAGAAGCAGGGCUAGGGAGGAGCCACUGCUAUCGAUGGAUUUUAACGAACACCAUCUGAACUUUUUGGUUGACACUCAGGCCACAUGCUCAAUGUUGGUCACCAAAGACGACCAGGACUUAAUUUCACCAAAAAAAAAAAAAAAAAUUCCUGUGGAAGUGAUGGCUUUCUCUGAGCAAUGUGAAUGUGAAAGACUGCCUUUAACUGAGCCUAUAUCAGUGUCUGUGGCUGGACAACAACUGAAACACAGAUUUCUGUUAUCAGACAGAGCCCUAUGGACUUAUUGGGCACAGACUUGUGGAUAAAAGUGGGUGCAUCAAUUCUGUGCUGUGCUGAUGGUGUCAUUGUAAGAUUUCCCACAGGCCUCACCAAGAACUGUUCAUUAAACACACCUGGCAUGGAAGGACAGUGGCUACUGUCAUCUGCAUAAGAACCUGAGGAAGCUGACAAAUACUGGAGCAAACUGUAACCAGAUACCCCACAAGGAGAGGGCCAGCUCUCGCUCUAUGCCUUAUGGAAAUCUUGGGUAACCCUUAUUGCACCAUACAUGCCUUUCAGCGACCCAACACACAUGACUUUAUUCUAUAACAGAAACCAAACCAAAUGGGAUUAAGAAACUUUUUAAAGCAAAUUGGAAGACUAUUAUUGGCAAAUUGGGUGAAAGGGAAUUUGGGUGGAAAAAAAGGAGUAGUAGGGGCAAUUUACUUGGCUACAGAACAUAGAUAAUAGUAUAUGAUGGGUCCAGAAGCAGAACCACAUGUCAAAUUGACCAUACAUCCAGAGCACCAAGCUAAGGAUUUAGGGCCAAUGAUAAAAGGAUUGUCUAAAUGGACAGAUUAGGUUGCCACCAAAAUACCAAAUGUAUUUUAUCCACCAUCAGAUAAAACAUAUCUAAUUGAUACGUCUACAGUAGAUAGCAUGAUCAUGAAACACGUAUUGGUCACGAGGUGGCAUGGAAAGGGACAGAACAGAUCAUGAGCUGACAGUACCAAUGUUAGACCUUUUACCAAGCCAAUUAUGGUCCACAGGACCAACAGAUGUGUAUUUUUGUUCCUUGGCUUCAGACAAUUGAAUUGACUGAAAAUAGGCUGAUUUGACAGGCACACUAUUCUUACAAGCCACAAGGUGAGACAGUCAUUGCAGACACAAUAGAAGAAUUGAUAACAGUAGGUGUGUUAGAGCCAUCAAACUCAUGACAGAAUUUUACUCCAAAUUUAUCUGUAGAAAAACAAAAUACAGGAAACUACAGGAUGGCUCAUGGAAAAAAAGGUUAACACGAUAGUGCAGACAGCCACAUUACCAAUGCCAAAAUCCAUACGCUGCACUAUAAGCAUUGAGUCCAGAACAUGAGUGGUUCACCCGUAUAGAUUUAGCUAAUUCAUUUUUCUGUUUACCACUGGCACCAAAAUUGAGGGACAUUUUCAUUUACCUUUAGGGGGCAGCAAUACAGGUACACAAGGGUACCUCUAAGUUUCAUAUUGUCUCCAGGGUUGUUCAAUCACACCCUGAGAGCUCUACUGAGCGAUUGACCUUUGCCAGAGAGAGUGGUGUUGAUCCAAUAUUUGGAUGACAAUUUACUAGCUGCAAAAACAGAUGACACCAGUUUAAAUGUGACUAAGCAGGAGUAAUUAUAAAUAUUUCAAAGUAAGUAAAUCAAAAUUACAAGUGUGUAGGCCACAGGUCACAUUGAUGGGACGAGUAGUGUCUGGACUGGACAUGGUAAUAUCUCCCAACCACCGAUCAGCUAUUUUGAAGAACAAAAAACGAUGACUAUAAAAGAUAUGCUGUCAUUUUUGGGCCUGGCUGGGUUCAGUAGACACCUCAUACCACAAUUCAUUGAUAGAACAACACCAUUAAGACAACUAGUGUAGGAAAAGGGAGCUGGACAGUUGAAUGCUACACUAGAUUGGACAACAGAAACAGAGAAGCAGUUCAGCAGCCAGUGUAGCUGAUUUGGCUAAUCUUGAGUAUAGGCGUCCUUUCUAUUAAGAUGUGUCAGAAACAGAAAAGACAGUGGAAAAGUUUUGUUUCAGUAAAAAAAGGAAAAAGAUGGUUUUGAUGCAUCUUAGCUUUUUAAUGGACAAGGUAGAACAAUGCCAGCUUCCAUCUACAAAAUUUGCAGCAAAGUUAGAAAAGAUAAUUCAGAAAACAGCACAUCUGAUCAUGAGACAUGAAGUCAAAAUGUAGACAUCACACUCACAGAAGGCAUACGUAACUUCUUUUGCAGUAACAAUGUCAUCGCUAAGACAGAAUAGAUUGUUAAAAAGGUUGAGUGCACCAACAAACCUAAUUUUCACACAUGAUGGCAUCAACAUGGCUGACUAUAUGGUUGAGAGAGAGAGCCACACAAUUGCGAAGAGUUAAUCUUGGGGGAUAGUAAGCUGAGACCAGAUUUAAGAGCAGUGGCACUGACAGGUGAGGUAGAAACUUGCAAACGGAUGGGUAUUGUUAUAGGGAUACUGAAGUAGAAUUAAAAGCAGGCUAUGCAGACAAAUAAUUGGCACAGACCAAAUUAAAUUAGGUAAAGGCCUUACCAAUUGAAUGUAUGGGUAUUAAAUCAUCACUGAAUAGAACAAUGGGUUUUACACCUUUUGAAUUGUUGACAGGUCAUCAGUAUCCAGAACCAGGAGCAGCCUUGACGUGCACUGACAGUGCACCGCUGAUGAACAAGCCAUAUUAUGACAAAUUAACAGCUUUACUCUCAGAUUUUUCUGAACAGAUUUUUGUGAAAUGCCUGGAGGGGGCCUAAGAAAAAGUUGUCCCUACAUCUGAAUAGGUGUUGCUGAAGGUAUUCAGGUGAAAGUGGGAGGAGCCAAGAUUCACCAAACUGGCAGCUGAGGAGUACAGAUGGCGGCCAUGAGUAAAAUCAAGGCCGAGAGGGGGAGUGCGUAGCAAAGAACAACAUAAACAAAUGAUUGACCCGCUGCCCUCAUGCCAAGAGGGGACGUCUGACUAAAUAGGGAGUGCAAGCAUGUAUUGGGGUAGGAGCUAAACACGCAGUAACCUUAAUACAUGGGAGCAACCUGAUAGUAGUGCAGGCCUACGGAUGACAACGAGGAAGUGUGCUAUCACAAAAGAGGGACAAAGAACAGUGUUCUGUUUGAUCACAAAAGAGAAAGUCACUGAUUUACCAACAGAUGACAAUUUGACCAGAACGUUUGAGGUUUUGAUUUUCAUGUUAAUCAAUGUCUUGAUUCUACCCAUAAUGCUACAGUUUUUAAUUUCAUUGUAAAAAGUUUGGACCUUAGAUCUCAAUGAUAUUAUGGUAGUUUUGAAUUUUUCAUUGGAGCAUUUUUUUUACAGGUUUGGAUUUCCUUUUUGAUCGUAAUCAAAUUUCUAAAGCUUGUUUAUUUUGAUUUGAAUUAUAUUGAUAACUAAUAAUAACUGAAUAAUAUAAAUAAAUAAUCAUACCUCUUAUGAUAAAGUGCAUAAGGUAGGAAAAUGAAAUUGUGAAAUAAUUGGAAGUUAAUGGGAGUGUUUGGCAAAACAAGCCUGAAUAUAGUGGGCAUAAUUUUUAUGAUAAGAAAUGAUUAGAAUGAAGCCAUGGAGUAGAGAGACUCCACCACUCAAGAAGAACUAGGGGUGAACAGAUUGUUGAGUGAAUCCAACAGAUAGGGAAUUGAGUUAAAAGGGUUUAUGGGUGUUUUUUAAUAUAAUGAACGAGCACUAUGUAAACAACAAGGUGUAAGCAACCAUUUUGGAAAAAUGGGUAAAGGAUUGUAUUUGGCAAAUAUUUGUAAUAAUGUUAAUUGAUUUUUUUUUUUUUCUUUACGUUUAGAUUUUGGUUAUUUGUGGUUGUGAGCUCCUUUAGAGGAGCUCAAAAGAGGGAUUUUGUUAGAAAUUUAUUACUUUUUAAUUGUAGUUCUUUUAUUUCUUUCUAUGAAUGUAGCUGUGUUAUGCCCAUGUAUGUUAUAUAGUUGUGUCAUGUUUAUGUAUGUAAUUUAGCUGUGUCAUGUUCAUGUAUGUACGUCAAGAGGGGCCAGGGUCUGUGGUGCCAAGGCCAGAUAAUACAGAACGUAAAGGACCACACCCGGCCAAUUCCUAGAACACCAGUUGUUUACACAUGUGUAUAAAAGUGGUUGGAAAGAAAGAGUUGUUGUUGAAGAUGGCCUGAACAUACGUGAGGGACACCUCCAACCCGGAGCUCUGUAUCUAUUGAAUUAUUCAAUUGUAUUCAUUAAAUGGCUAAUACUUUUGCAUUGAAGAAAA